Molecule: transfer RNA, 66 nt
Filed under: Lobianchia gemellarii
Lineage: Eukaryota; Metazoa; Chordata; Actinopteri; Myctophiformes; Myctophidae
Description: tRNA-Cys
Source: RNAcentral
GGCUUUGAAGUGUUUUCACGUCGGAUUGCAAAUCCGAAAAAGCCGGCUAACAGCCGGCCGGGGCCU